UGUUUAAUGAAACCCUAAUUCCCCGGGUUUGGAGCCUAUUUAAGGGCACUUAUAGCCUCCCAUUGCGGCUACCAGUCCCUUGAGAGAACCCUAAGAGAGCUAAAUCGUUGUGAGGGAGAAGAAGUCACUUUUUGAUCCUUGUACCUUUGGUUUAGGAAGAAGAAGGUGACAAGAGCAAAGAGGAGGUGCGAUUCAAGCAGAUCCAGAGUUCAGAGACAUCAUUUUGAGGUAGUAGUUCGAACCUCCUUCAGUUUUAGUGUUGAUCUUUAGAGUUAGGGUUUUCUAACCUCUUUGGAGAGUGAUUAUGUCGAGCAAAUGGUCCCUCUUCGAGUUUGUGCCUUGGAUUUGGACUCAAAGAGGUCCAGAGACCUUAACCCUUGGAGCUUUAUGGAUCAGAUUGGGGUUAUUGGACUUAAGUUGCCAUUUUGGGGCUAAAUCUCCUUUUGAUGCCUUGUUGUGGUUGUACAAGCAUCAAGUUUCGAACUUUACGUGACAUUCAUGCUUGGGGAGGCCAGAUCUAUGGUUUGGGGAAACAGAUCUGACCUCAGGAGGUUAGUAGAGUUUGUGCAUGGCAUAAGCUCGCCUUGUUGUUCUUGAGACUCGGCGAGUAGGGUUAGGGUUUCACAUAAAUUGUUCAGUGAGUAGACUUGCCGGGUUGGGGAUGACUCAGUGAGUCAGGAGGGAGUUAGAGGACUGGAGUUCAAGGCGAUACUCAGCGAGUUGUUCUUGAGACUCGGCGAGUUGAGUCGGGGUGGCCCCGUGAUUCAUGACUGGUAUGACUCGUCAAGUAUAGGGAGGGACUCGGCAUGUCAAGCGGGAAAAAAAGUUAAAUGACAUGUGAGAACUCGCCGAGUCACCUGGGUGCACUCGGCGAGUAGGGUCAAAGUGGGACCGUUGACUUUUGUUGACUUUUAGUGUUUGGUCAUCAAUAGAGUCCUUGUGACAAGAAGGGAGGGUAAAAUAGUCUUUUACCUUUCUGAGGGUGCCAAUGGCAGGUUGAGUCUAGUCUCGAGAGUUAUAUUUAUAAGAGUAUUUAUUUAUGUGAAUAGGCGGAGGCUAGGCAAUAUUUUUCAUCGAGUCAGAGAUUUACCGAGACGCCUGAGGUGAGCCUUCUCACUAUACUUUACCUAGUGUGGUCACAGAGUUAUGUGACAGAGUACUAUAGAGUUAUAUGCCAGUGUAUUUGCAUGUUAUUUAUGUGUUGUGAUUUAUUGUGAUAUGUGAUAUGCAUGAUUCAGAGUUACAGAGUUGGGACUUUCGGGUCCCUAGAGUUAGGGCCAGAGGGCCCACAGAGAGUUGGGGCUGGAGGGCCCCACUGAGACACAUUGACCAGAGGGUCAACAGAGUUACAGCCUCGAGUGGCUAUUAUGUGUUAGAGUGGUAUUUUGGGGAACUCACUAAGCUUAUGCUUACAGUGUCCAGUGUUAUGUGUUUCAGGUACCAGUGAUGACCGAGGGAAGGCGCCGGCUUGAUUCGUACACACACAUGGGAUUUUAUGUACUUUGAUCUUGGGAGAUAUUUUGUGAAACAAAGACAUGAUAUUAUGACAUUUUAUGAAUGAAGGAGUUUGUAAAAAUGCGUUAUAAAAUGCGAAAAAUUGUUUUAAUUUUUACGGUGUUACAAGUUGGUAUCAGAGCCUAGGUUUGAGGGAUUCGGGGGCACCUUCGGGCGAAUCUGAACUCAAACCGAGGAUUUGAGGAAAUUUUGACAAUAAAACAAGUUUUCAAAAGAAGAACUUAUGACACAAACAGAGCAGAGUCGUGUGUACGAAUAGCCAGCGCCCGAACGGUGAUUUCCCAAAAUACCAUUACCAUAAGUGUUGUAAGAUAUGAUGUGAUAUGUUAUAUGAUGAGCUAUGCUAUGCAUACUAGAGUAGACUAGGUAUUCUUAUUAGGACUAGAGUGGCCUGAUAUGUGAUGCCUGAGUCUAGGAGUCUUGCUGCUAGGAAUACUUCAGAGUGUUUAGGUAGCAGCGAGGAGGUUGUGAGAUAUCUGCUUGCGAGUAUCAUAUGAUUAGAGAGAAUAGAGUACUUGGGACUUGGGACUCUAGGAGGAGGACUUGGGGUGAAUGCUGAUGCGGUGUGGACGAUAGUAUUGGGCCCGUACUACUGAAGACACCGGGUCAGUGCACAGUCCAAGUAAGAAUCCUUGGAGUACCAAGGGACAAGUAGGGUGUAGUAUUCGAGUGUGAGCAUACUCGAGCGAGUCCCUGAUAUUUAUUCUUAUGUUGUAUUCAGAGAGAGAGAGAUCAUGGUUGGGACUCGCCACACACCAGGGACCAGUGAUACGAGAGAUGAGGAGAUCCAUAAGAUCAUCCACGAGGAGGUGGUUGCGGCCAUCAGGGCAGAGAUACCAGAGAUGUUCGGGUCUAUCAAGACCACACUGAUAGAUACAUUUGAUGAGAAGUAUGCUGCUCUUUCUGAGGCUGCUGUUGCUGUGGCCACUGCAGCUAUAGUUGGGACUAGGCCGCAAGGUGGUGAUGCGUUGCUGUUCCGAGAGUUCAGCAACACAAAACCAUCGGAGUUUGAUGGGACCCAGGACCCGAUUGCAGCGAUGAGACGAAUUUCAGACAUAGAGGGGUGUUUCUUUACUUGCUCAUCUCCAGAGCAUUUGAGUGUUCGGUUCGCGCUGAACCAGCUUCGCUUGGGAGCGAAGGAUUGGUGGAAGUUUGUGACGGCGCACUAUACGCCUGCUGAGCUUGCUGCAGUGACCUGGGAGAGGUUCACUACUAUGUUCCUAGAUGAGUACGUUCCCCAGGUGGAGAGGGAGCAUUUGGCCUAGGAGUUUCUGACCCUCAAGCAGGGUAUUGAGUUGGUUAUGGUGAUCACGAGGAUGUUUCAUGAGCGGGCGAUAUUCUGCCAUGAGCACGUGUCCUCCGAGCAGGCACGUAUGAGUUGAUAUCUAAGCAUCUUGAGGAGGGAUAUACGAGAGUUCUUGGCGAACUCGACGUACCGGACAUUUACCGAGCUUUAGGAAAAUGCCCGGAAAAGGGAGAUAGAGCUAGAGACCCAAGCUAGGGAGGAGGUUGAGUCUCAGGGGAGGGAUCGGCGACCGGUGCAGUCUCAGCCAGUAGCCAAGCGGGCCAAGCCUGCUGAUUCGAGGUCAGGGAACCAGAGGGGCCGCACUUGUGGCAAGUGCGGCAAGAGCCACGAUGGGGUGUGCAGAGCAGGGUCUUGCUACAAAUGUGGCAAGGAGGGGCAUAUGGCCAAGGACCACCCUAAGGGGUUUGCAGUAUGUUUUCACUGCAACCAGACCGGACACCAGAAGGCAGAGUGUCCGCAGCUACGGGGAUCAGCACAGGGAGCAUCUCAGGGAUCUUCCCCUGUUGCCAUCAGAGCUACCGAGAAUCGGCCAGUGAAGGCCGAGGCACCGAUGGCAUGAGGGAGAGCCUUUCAGUUGACCGCGGAGAAGGUCCGCGCAGCGUCCGAUGUCAUGGCUGGUAUGUAUUCUUUCGUGUAUUUAUUUUGAGGUUGAGAUAUUGUGCUUAUAUUAUGUUAUGCGUAGGUACUUUUCUUGUGAAUUUUGUACCUGCCUUGGUGUUAUUUGACUCGGGUGCGAGUCGGUCUUUUGUAUCUUUGGCUUUUAGUCAGCACAUCAGUGUUAGUCGUGAGGCGUUGAGUCGACCUCUGAGAGUUUCCAUAGCUGAUGAGAGGGUGAUAUAUGCCACAGAGGUGAUCCGAGGGUGCGUACUUGAGAUUUUCGGUGUUGAGUUCCUGAUUGAUUUAGUUCCUAUUGCGAUGGGUGAUGUCUGUGUCAUUGUGGGCAUGGACUGUUUGAGCAGAUUCGGAGCGGUUAUCGACUGCGAGCAACAGCUGGUGACCAUACGAGACCCUAGUAGGGGAGUUCUUACGGUGUACGGCGAGGGUACAUGUUCUGGGUCAGCAUUUUGUUCGGCCACUAGAGUGAGACAGUGUCUACAGCAGGGCUGUAAGGGCUUUGUAGCGUAUGUGAUGGAUACGCGGGUUGAUUCAGAGAGACCGAGGACAGUUGAUGAGGUUUCGAUAGUGCGUGAGUUCCCGGACGUAUUUCCAGAGGAGUUGUCGGGCGUGCCUCCCGUGAGGCAAGUGGAGUUUAGUAUCGAUUUGGUUCCGAGGGCCGCGCCUUCGCCUUGCACCUCCAGAGAUGCACGAGUUAUCCUCGCAGAUUCAGGAGUUACUGGGAAAGGGGUUUAUUCGGCCGAGCAGAUCGCCGUAGGGAGCGCCUAUCCUUUUUGUCAAGAAAAAGGAUGGUUCACACCGGAUGUGCAUUGAUUGUCGGGAGUUGAACAAGCUGACGGUCAAGAACUGUUACCCGUUGCCGAGGAUCGAUGAUUUGUUCGAUUAGUUGCAGGGAGCAUCUUGGUUCUCCAAGAUCGAUUUGAGGUCUGCGUAUCAUCAGGUGAGGGUGCGAGAUGAGGACAUUCAGAAGACAACGUUCAGGACUCGUUAUGGGCAUUAUGAGUUUGUGGUGAUGCCUUUCAGACUCACCAACGCCCCGACAGUGUUCAUGGAUCUCAUGAACAGAGUGUGCAGGCCGAUGUUAGAUCGCUCGGUGAUUGUAUUCAUCAACGACAUUUUGGUGUAUUCGAGGUCUAGAGAGCAGCAUGAGGAGCAUUUGAGGGAGAUCCUCGGAGUUCUAAGAUCAGAGAGGCUUUAUGCCAAAUUCUCCAAGUGUGAUUUCUGGUUGCGAGAGGUCUAGUUCCUAGGGCACCUCGUUAACCAGAAAGGGAUAUUGGUCGACCCGGCCAAAGUUGAGGCAGUGAUGAGUUGGGAGGUCCCGAGGUCACCCUCCGAGAUCAGGAGUUUCUUAGGGUUGGCAGGCUAUUAUCGGAGAUUUAUCAGGGAUUUCUCCAAGAUCAUCGUGCCACUCACCAGGUUAACCCGGAAGGGUGUCGCUUUUCAUGGGGCCCAGAGCAGCAGGCCUCCUUUGAGACGCUUCGCCAGAGGCUAUGUGAAGCCCCAGUGUUAGCCUUCCCAGAGGGAAUGGAGGACUUUGUGGUGUAUUGUGAUGCGUCGAUCUUGGGGUUGGGAGAGGUGCUGAUGCAGAGAGGGCAUGUGAUAGCAAAGGCAUCAAGGAAGCUGAAGCCUCAUGAGUCGAGGUAUCCCACCCACGAUCUAGAGUUGGGGGCAGUGGUGUUCGCCCUCAAGAUUUGGCGUCACUAUCUGUAUGGGGUUCGGUGUACGAUAUACACGGACCACAAGAGCUUGAAGUAUUUGAUGGAUCAGCCCAACCUAAAUAUGCGACAGAGGAGGGGGUUGGACGUGGUUAAGGAUUAUGAUUAUGAGAUCUUGUACCACCCGGGCAAGGCUAAUGUUGUAGCCGAUGCACUGAGCCGUAGGGUGGAAAGCGCCCCAUUGCGAGAUGUGUGUUUGAGAUUGACCGUGAUAGCUCUGGUAUUGGACACCAUUCGUGGGGCACAAGCUGAGGUUGUGCAGCCUGAGAGCCAGAAGAGAGAGCGAGUUGUCGGGUUGGUUUCGGAGUUCGUUAUCGAUAGCCGUGGGCUGAUGACAUUUCAGGGUCGUAUCUGGGUACUGUUUGUGGGAGGGACGCGUACCAUUUUGAUGGAAGAGGCUCAUCCGUCGAAGUUCUCGAUCCAUCCUGGGGCCACUAAGAUGUAUUUAGAUCUGAAGAGGGAGUAUUGGUGGCCCUGUAUGAAGACGGAUGUCGCGUGGUAUGUUGAGAGGUACUUGACCUGUCAUAGGUUUAAGACCAAGCACUAGAGACCGCAUGGUAAGUUGCAGCCGUUGGAGGUUCCCGAAUAGAAGUGGGAAAAGAUUACCAUGGAUUUUAUCACCAAAUCGCCAAGGACUGCUAGGGGAGUCGAUGCAAUUUGUGUGAUUGUGGACAUGUUGACAAAGAGCGCCUACUUCCUUGCUAUCAGUGAGAGCUCUUCCGCGGAGAAAUUGGCAGAGAUGUACGUGUGGGAGGUGGUAUCGCGACUUGGAGUGCCGAUCUCGAUUGUCUCAGACCGAGAUGUGCGUUUCACUUCCAGAUUCUGGAAGAAAUUUCAUGAGGAAUUGGGUACUAGGCUGCAUUUUAGUACCGCAUACCACCCCCAGACUGACGGACAAAGCGAGCGGACGAUUCAGACGCUCGAGGAUAUGCUCCGGGCAUGUAUGUUGGAUUUCGGUGGGAGUUAGGACACGUAUUUGCGCUUGGUAGAGUUUUCUUACAACAACAAUCAUCAUUCGAGCAUUGGUGUGCCACCCUUUGAGCUGUUGUAUAGGAGAAGGUGUCGGACCCCCAUUUGCUGGGGAGAGGUCGGGCAGCGUGUUAUGGGUAGUACCGAGAUUGUGCUUCAGACGACUGAGCAGAUACAGCAGGUCAGGCAGAGGUUAUUGACCGCUCAGAGUCGUCAGAAGAGUUAUGCGGACAGGCGCCGGUUUGAGCUCGAGUUCCAGGUCGGCAACUUUAUACUCCUAAAGGUCUCUCCUUGGAAAGGAGUGAUCCGAUUCAGGAAGAGGGACAAGUUGGGGCCCCGAUAUAUCGGUCCUUUUCGGGUGAUCGCAAGGGUAGUCAGGGUAGCCUAUCGGUUGGAGCUACCUGCAGAGUUAGGUCAGAUCUAUGACACUUUCCACGUGUUGCAAUUACGAAAGUGUAUAGCCGAUGAGUCGGCAGUGGUACCAUUGGAGGAUAUUCAGGUGGAUGCGAGCCUGAAAUAUGCUGAGAGACCAGUGGCAAUCAGGGAUCAGAAGAUCAAGGUUUUGAGGAACAAGGAAGUACCUUUGGUUUUNCAGUGGCAACACCGGAAAGGGUCAGAGCUUACUUGGGAGUCGGAGCGCGAGAUGCGUGAGCAGCAUCCGGAGUUGUUCCCAGAGUAAGACUUCGAGGGCGAAGUCUGAUUCUAGUGGGGGAGAAAUGUAACAUCUUGAAAUUCUAGGUAUAUUAAUUUAUUUAAUUAUUUUAGAAUUUGUGGAGGAACUCGGCGAGUUGGAUCCAAGACUCGCCGAGUAGGAUCGCAGAUGUUCAUCCGCGUUCACGUCCGGACUCGGUGAGUCCAUUAGUGGACUCGGCGAUUCCACACUGUUUAAUGAAACCCUAAUUCCCCGGGUUUGGAGCCUAUUUAAGGGCACUUAUAGCCUCCCAUUGCGGCUACCAGUCCCUUGAGAGAACCCUAAGAGAGCUAAAUCGUUGUGAGGGAGAAGAAGUCACUUUUUGAUCCUUGUACCUUUGGUUAAGGAAGAAGAAGGUGACAAGAGCAAAUAGGAGGUGCGAUUCAAGCAGAUCCAGAGUUCAGAGACAUCAUUUUGAGGUAAUAGUUCGAACCUCCUUCAGUUUUAGUGUUGAUCUUUAG
RNAcentral lists this long non-coding RNA (7272 nucleotides) under Lactuca sativa (garden lettuce). RNAcentral describes it as "long non-coding RNA (LSAT_LNC001452)". The record is from RNAcentral. Lineage: Eukaryota; Viridiplantae; Streptophyta; Magnoliopsida; Asterales; Asteraceae.